CAGUAGCCGCGGGAAUACGAAGGGGGCUAGCGUUGUUCGGAAUUACUGGGCGUAAAGCGCACGUAGGCGGAUAUUUAAGUCAGGGGUGAAAUCCCGCAGCUCAACUGCGGAACUGCCUUUGAUACUGGGUAUCUUGAGUAUGGAAGAGGUUAGUGGAAUUGCGAGUGUAGAGGUGAAAUUCGUAGAUAUUCGCAGGAACACCAGUGGCGAAGGCGGCUAACUGGUCCAUAACUGACGCUGAGGUGCGAAAGCGUGGGGAGCAAACAGGAUUAGAUACCCCCGUAGUCCCUGUCUCUUAUAC
RNAcentral lists this ribosomal RNA (301 nucleotides) under uncultured bacterium. RNAcentral's name for it is "partial 16S ribosomal RNA". It matches the Rfam family "Bacterial small subunit ribosomal RNA", at positions 509 to 807 of the family's 1533-position model. The record is from RNAcentral.